CCUACGGGACGCAGCAGCGGGGGAUAUUGCACAAUGGGGGAAACCCUGAUGCAGCGACGCCGCGUGGGUGAAGAAGCGCCUCGGCGCGUAAAGCCCUGUCAGCAGGGAAGAAAAUGACGGUACCUGAAGAAGAAGCCCCGGCUAACUACGUGCCAGCAGCCGCGGUAAUACGUAGGGGGCAAGCGUUAUCCGGAUUUACUGGGUGUAAAGGGGGCGCAGACGGCGAUGCAAGCCAGGAGUGAAAGCCCGGGGCCCAACCCCGGGACUGCCCUUGGCACUGCGUGGCUAGAGGGCAGGAGGGGCAG
RNAcentral lists this ribosomal RNA (305 nucleotides) under uncultured bacterium. RNAcentral's name for it is "bacterial SSU rRNA". It matches the Rfam family "Bacterial small subunit ribosomal RNA", at positions 338 to 660 of the family's 1533-position model. The record is from RNAcentral.